GACGAACGCUGGCGGCGCGCCUAACACAUGCAGGUCGAACGGGCGAGAGAGAGCUUGCUUUCUCGAGCGAGUGGCGAACGGGUGAGUAACGCGUGAGGAACCUGCCUCAAAGAGGGGGACAACAGUUGGAAACGACUGCUAAUACCGCAUAAGCCCACGGUGCCGCAUGGCACAGAGGGAAAAGGAGCAAUCCGCUUUGAGAUGGCCUCGCGUCCGAUUAGCUAGUUGGUGAGGUAAUGGCCCACCAAGGCGACGAUCGGUAGCCGGACUGAGAGGUUGAACGGCCACAUUGGGACUGAGACACGGCCCAGACUCCUACGGGAGGCAGCAGUGGGGAAUAUUGCACAAUGGGGGAAACCCUGAUGCAGCGACGCCGCGUGGAGGAAGAAGGUCUUCGGAUUGUAAACUCCUGUUGUUGGGGAAGAUAAUGACGGUACCCAACAAGGAAGUGACGGCUAACUACGUA
Molecule: ribosomal RNA, 466 nt
Filed under: uncultured bacterium
Lineage: Bacteria
Description: partial 16S ribosomal RNA
Rfam family: Bacterial small subunit ribosomal RNA
Source: RNAcentral